GAACAUAGUAUUUUUCUUAGCUGGAGCAUUAGGACCAUGGAGAAGAAGUACAUCCAGUGUGGUGUAAUCAGACUGGCCAUAAAUACCUAUAAAUACAUUGCACAUUUAUUAUGAUAAAAUUGGAAUGAAAGUGAAGGAGAAAGGGUCAUGGGGGAGCCUGGAGCCUAUCCCAGGGAACUUGGGGCACAAGGCAGGGGACACUCUAGGCAGGAUUCCAAACCAUCACAGGGCACAGUCACACACCUCGGACAAUUUGGAAAUGACUACCAGCCUACAAUGUAUGUCCUUGGACUGGAGGAGGAAACUGGAGUACCUGGAGGAAGCCCUCAAAGCACAGGGAGAACAUGCAAGCUCUUUAGAAACAAGGCAGUGGUGGGAUUUGAACCCCCAACCCUGGAUGUACUAGGCAAAUGUGCUAACCACUAAACCACAGUGUCCCCUAUAACAUAUAACAUAUAAAUUAAAAUAAAA
Ictalurus punctatus (channel catfish) is the source of this 471-nucleotide long non-coding RNA. NCBI's taxonomy places the organism in Eukaryota, Metazoa, Chordata, Actinopteri, Siluriformes, Ictaluridae. The record is from Ensembl.